ACAAGCGGUGGAGUAUGUGGUUUAAUUCGAUGCAACGCGAAGAACCUUACCUGGUCUUGACAUCCCGGAGACCCUUAGGAACUAGGGGUGCUUCCAUCUGGAAGAAUCUGGAGACAGGUGCUGCAUGGCUGUCGUCAGCUCGUGUCGUGAGAUGUUGGGUUUAAGUCCCGCAACGAGCGCAACCCUUGCCUUUAGUUGCCAGCAGUUCGGCUGGGCACUCUAAAGGGACUGCCGGUGUUAAACCGGAGGAAGUGGGGAUGACGUCAAGUCCUCAUGGCCUUUAUGACCAGGGCUACACACGUACUACAAUGGCCGAUACAAAGGGCAGCGACACUGCGAGGUGAAGCCAAUCCCGUAAAAUCGGUCUCAGUCCGGAUUGGAGUCUGCAACUCGACUCCAUGAAGUUGGAAUCGCUAGUAAUCGUGGAUCAGCAUGCCACGGUGAAUACGUUCCCGGGCCUU
Molecule: ribosomal RNA, 461 nt
Filed under: uncultured Desulfobulbus sp.
Lineage: Bacteria; Pseudomonadati; Thermodesulfobacteriota; Desulfobulbia; Desulfobulbales; Desulfobulbaceae
Description: bacterial SSU rRNA
Rfam family: Bacterial small subunit ribosomal RNA
Source: RNAcentral